CAGGCCUAACACAUGCAAGUCGAACGGUAACAGGUCUUCGGAUGCUGACGAGUGGCGAACGGGUGAGUAAUACAUCGGAACGUGCCCAAUCGUGGGGGAUAACACAUCGAAAGAUGUGCUAAUACCGCAUAAGAUCUACGGAUGAAAGCGGGGGAUCGCAAGACCUCGCGCGAAUGGAGCGGCCGAUGGCAGAUUAGGUAGUUGGUGGGGUAAAGGCCUACCAAGCCGACGAUCUGUAGCUGGUCUGAGAGGACGACCAGCCACACUGGGACUGAGACACGGCCCAGACUCCUACGGGAGGCAGCAGUGGGGAAUUUUGGACAAUGGGCGCAAGCCUGAUCCAGCAAUGCCGCGUGCAGGAUGAAGGCCUUCGGGUUGUAAACUGCUUUUGUACGGAGCGAAAAGGUUUUCUCUAAUACAGAAGGCCCAUGACGGUACCGUAAGA
Molecule: ribosomal RNA, 445 nt
Filed under: uncultured bacterium
Lineage: Bacteria
Description: bacterial SSU rRNA
Rfam family: Bacterial small subunit ribosomal RNA
Source: RNAcentral